CGUGUGUGUCGCAGCUUUGAAAAGACGGUUUACCGCGUAACCUUAUAGCCCUCUUUAUUUCCGUUUGAUUGACAAAGAGGAGUCUGUCCAGAUGCGCUAAUUUGAGAUGGAAUCUUCACGGUGGGCUGCUUUAUUCUGGCUUUCCUUGUCGGACGUAGCUGUGGUCUCACUUGUCACACCUGCCAGCACCUGGAGAGUUCACCUGAUUUUUACACCUGCCUACAGAACCCCUCCUCCGUCAGUACCGAGACAUGUGCAGCAGGCGAGGACACCUGCCAGGCCACGUUCCUGAAAUUAAGCUGGAUAUACUACGUCAUCAGAGGAUGUGCGACCAUCGCGGAUUGCAGCACAGCACUGGCGAUGGGAA
Molecule: long non-coding RNA, 367 nt
Organism: Branchiostoma floridae (Florida lancelet)
Lineage: Eukaryota; Metazoa; Chordata; Leptocardii; Amphioxiformes; Branchiostomatidae
Exons: 3
Source: RefSeq, a predicted model, not a curated record